CGCCCCGAACUUUGUGACUGACGCAAAGAGUAACAGAACACGAUCACUUGGACGUCUCUCCCCUCUCCGUCCUCGGAACUGGUAUAGGGAGGGAGAAGACGAGGAGUGGGAGGGAAAUCGCAAGAUGGUGCUGUGGGUGUUCGGGUAUGGGUCUCUGAUAUGGAAGGCGGGGUUCCGCUACGACGAGAGGCGCGUCGGAUUUAUUAAGGGAUUCCGUAGGGUCUUCUACCAAGGUAGCACAGACCACAGAGGGACUCCCGAUUUCCCCGGAAGAACCGUCACUUUGGAACCCCUUCGCGGAGCAAUCUGUUGGGGAGUUGCAUACAAAGUUUCUGGUGAAGA
Musa acuminata AAA Group (dessert banana) is the source of this 342-nucleotide long non-coding RNA. RefSeq lists it as uncharacterized. The record is from RefSeq and is a predicted model, not a curated record. The transcript is spliced from 3 exons. NCBI's taxonomy places the organism in Eukaryota, Viridiplantae, Streptophyta, Magnoliopsida, Zingiberales, Musaceae.